Megalopta genalis is the source of this 3194-nucleotide long non-coding RNA. RefSeq lists it as uncharacterized. The record is from RefSeq and is a predicted model, not a curated record. Lineage: Eukaryota; Metazoa; Arthropoda; Insecta; Hymenoptera; Halictidae.
AGCUGUAACACGGUAUCUCGCGACUCUGCAGCUGGUUUCCCUGCGUCACGCGUCCUUCGCGAUCGCGUGUCUCGUCGAACGUCUCGAGACCGCCAACGUUUUUCCACGAUACCGUCGCUAUCGGCGUUUGAACAUCGGUUCGAAGGGAGGACAGCAGGAAACGCCCCUCGGCGAGCCGCGUUCCCAUUGGCCGAUGGAACAGCUGCGACGAUAAAUAACGAACGAGUCCACGAUAUUGUUUAUCAGCGAGUUAAAUAUUUCAGGAGGUCCCGAUUGCUUCGACUCGUUCAAUCGAGCUACUUCCCCCGCUCGACCAGUUUAUCCAGCCGAGAUAAUGCCGCGAGCUAGUCUGGCGCAGCGGUUUCUUCAUUCAAAUUCUUUCGAGUGUAACAUACUUGCAGACCGAUACGAAACAACGCCGGCUAAAUAGCCAGGCAGUGCCAGCGGAUACCCCGCGACACGAUUCUAUUUACCACUCGGCGUAUUUAUAGCGCCCGAACGUACCCGAAGAGAUCGGGAGAGCUGUAUUGCUGGCCGGUGUUUAUCGAGAUUGUUCAUCCGGCUGACCGUUCGUCUUGGAAACAAUCGGCGAAAUUUUUGCGAAGACGCGAACACCGAUCCGAAGAUGACGGAUGUUCGAACGCUAACGGCACACUUUUGAUUCGAAGUGCUGCGAGGGGGUACCAGAACAUCGGAAGUCGACGUUUUUGGUCUCGUUCGACGGCGAAGAGAUCGUGACACGAGAUUGCAUCGGUUUUGUUGACGAAAUCAAUUUUUUGGACUCGUCAGGGAUUUGCAAAGUUGAAGAAUCGCCCGGAAAUGAGCACUGGGAGUCAUGGCGCCGCUUCGCAGAAGGUUCUCCUUGUUCUCUGCCAGCGUGUCCGCGGUGUCGUCGGCUCCUUCUUGCAGGAGGUUGGCCUGCAGGGCUAGUUUCCUAACGGCGAGACAGUAGCCGAGAAUCGGAGCCGCCAGCAGGUCGAUACAGGCGGCCACCCAGGGCAUAACCGACGUGGAUCGUGCCGCAGAAAUGUCCCUCGAUCGCUGGACGUUCGCUCGAAGAAGAUCGUGGCCGCCGCGACCGUGCACGCGGUUAACAAUAACGGGAGGAAUGAAAUGUAAACAACAGCUGUCCCCUGAAUCGGAACCCGGCGAGCUGGAGCCCUCUAAUUAAACGAGACACACGGUGAAGCUCGUGUUUAAUCCUAUCGCUAUACCGCCACCAAGUUUCUCCCGGCCUUCGAAUCUUCGGGCUAAAGUUCUUCCGAGAAAUGGUCGCUGCUCGUGUGCCGUAUUAUCGACAACAGGUCCUCCCUCAUUCCAAUUUGCUUGAUCCUCACUUCCGGAGCCAGUUUGCGGGCUUCUGUGUCUUUUGUUCUCAGUUCUAUCGGCCUUUCGCCUGUCCUCCUCGACUCCUCGCCCGUUUCCACCCUGCUAGCUCUAUACCGUGUCUGUCCGCUCAGUGCGCAACACCUGCGACUACUCGACCUCGACGAUCGUUCGCAGUCAACUGAGCCUCUAAUCGGACCUCGAUCCUAUACUAGUUGCCAGCGUUUCUUGAUACGGGUCGCUUCGGACCUGCGCACGCGCUGCCCACAGCUGCUUUUGCUGGUAGUUUACAUAGUCACGGUGCUGCUUCACCGACACACGUCUUACGAGCCCGGCGCUCCCUUCUCGUCUCUGCCACCUUGGCUGCUUCUACUCGGAUCUUCCCUGUCGCGCCUUCGAUCGCUCGUUGUUUACCUGGCCAGUUGGGCGCCGAACGGGAAGCUCGGUGCCUCUUUCGCUGUUUCGGUAGGUCAGCUCAAGCGGUGAACCGGUUUCGAGGAUCGACGAGACCUGGGCCAGACGCUUCUGCGUUCGUGCGACGCUCUCUCUCUCUCUCUCUCUCUCUCAGUCUCUCCCUGUCUCUCUCUCUCUCUCGGUCUCUACCUCUUCUGCUAUCUUUCUCGCUUGUUUUCUUUGGGCAACGCGAUCGAUGCCAGCCAGCUGGGACGUACCUUGCACAGGUGAACACGCGCUACUCAGUCUGGAAAUCGUCGGAUACUCGUGCGUAACGUGAAAAGUUGUCUCUGCUCGUGCUUCGAGGAGGUUCCAGCGACUGAUGGUCCCUCAUCCGCAGCAGCUUUUAGCAACAUCGACCCGACUCUGGGUAGGCGCCCUCUGUUCAAGCCAGCCAAUCGUGCCACGCGCAGCCCCUCCAUCCUUUCCCGGCAAUCGCGUUGAAAACACGUCGAACGAUCUCUCACUUUUGCCGACAAACCGUUGUUGACUUUCCUACCAACGACCGGGCCAACCCGAUCGUCACGGUUUCUGUUUCUCUUUUUUAUGGGGGGGAGGGAGGGGGGGACUGCCGCGAGCCCGCGAGAAAAAUCCUGAGAUCCGCAGCUACGUUUUGGCUGACUCUGAAUAGACCACGCGACCCUCCGAAUUUAGAACCUCGCUGUAUUAGCGCGUGUAUUCGACGCCUCGAACGAUUCCGAUGCGUCGAUUGAAAAUCGACGGUCGACGGUAGUCGCGCGAAAUAUCGAUUGUUUCGCGACCAGGACCGGCACCGUCGAGUCCUUAAUUGAGCCCGCGGAACUCCAGAACGUUCCUAUGUACGGUAGUGUGCCGAGACAUUGUACAGGGUGAUCCGGAAGUAACGAAACUGCGGCCGGAGACGCGUUUCGGAGCAAAACGGAGCGGAUGUUGCUGUUAGGAAGGUUCGAUUAAUUCGAUUCGCAUUUGGGAAGCUCGGGAAAUCAUACUGUUCUACGUCAUGGUUAUUUGUGAUAUAAUGAUUUUCAUAAGAAUUACUUGAGUACGAGGAUCGUGGCCGAUUCCAAAUAAAAGGCGCGAGAAAGCGUGCCAAUCUAAUCUUAAGUAAACGCUCCAUUUUAUUCUUAGAUAGUGUGUGUAAUAAAACCUGGAAAAUUAUGGUUUGAAUACAAAAUAAAGUAGUGACGAACCUGUUUCUGGAAUUCAUUUUGUUGAUGCCGAUAUUAAAGAAUAUAGCUCAAUAUUAGGACAUAAUGAUUUUCACGAAAACCACUCGAAUAUUUGAGUUACUGUUUUAUAUUAGUUUAUAAAAGUAACAAUAAGACAUUUAUUCUGAUUUUUAACAAAUGUUAUUGUAACAUUUGCCGUAAAUAAAACCAUAUAAAUGAAUUGUAAAAACAAAACCAUAUAAAUUGAAUAAAUAUCUCAUAAAUGUA